GAUGAACGCUGGCGGCGUGCUUAACACAUGCAAGUCGAACGGAAAGGCCCUGCUUUUGUGGGGUGCUCGAGUGGCGAACGGGUGAGUAACACGUGAGUAACCUGCCCUUGACUUUGGGAUAACUUCAGGAAACUGGGGCUAAUAUCGGAUAGGAGCUCCUGCUGCAUGGUGGGGGUUGGAAAGUUUCGGCGGUUGGGGAUGGACUCGCGGCUUAUCAGCUUGUUGGUGGGGUAGUGGCUUACCAAGGCUUUGACGGGUAGCCGGCCUGAGAGGGUGACCGGCCACAUUGGGACUGAGAUACGGCCCAGACUCCUACGGGAGGCAGCAGUGGGGAAUAUUGCACAAUGGGCGGAAGCCUGAUGCAGCAACGCCGCGUGCGGGAUGACGGCCUUCGGGUUGUAAACCGCUUUCGCCUGUGACGAAGCGUGAGUGACGGUAAUGGGUAAAGAAGCACCGGCUAACUACGUG
This 468-nucleotide ribosomal RNA is filed under the name uncultured bacterium. RNAcentral describes it as "partial 16S ribosomal RNA". It matches the Rfam family "Bacterial small subunit ribosomal RNA", at positions 28 to 507 of the family's 1533-position model. The record is from RNAcentral.